This 924-nucleotide ribosomal RNA is filed under the name Triticum aestivum (bread wheat). RNAcentral describes it as "partial small subunit ribosomal RNA". The record is from RNAcentral. Lineage: Eukaryota; Viridiplantae; Streptophyta; Magnoliopsida; Poales; Poaceae.
AUGCAAACUCAGCGACCAACGGCGGCGGUGGUGGGAGCGGUUUCGGUGGCGGCAGCGGAGCAAACCGCAGAUCCCGAUCUGGAAAAUUUCUUCGACCAACUGGAUCUUAACGAGGAAGAAUUUGAUGACGUGGAGAUCGAUGAAGAGGACCCGGAGAUCAAGGAAAGAGUCCAUUGGUUAACCCUUGCUAGGGUUCAUACCGACAAAACCUUCUCCUCGUCGGCCUUCUACAGGGAGAUGAGGGCGGCUUGGAACCCUACGCAAGGUGUUAGAUUCUGGCCGGUCGGGCCUAACAGAUUCGUUGUCCAGGCAUCAUCCUUGGGGGACUGGGAGCGGAUCAUGAAACAAGGCCCUUGGUUGUUCCGCAACAUGGCGGUGCUACUAUGCGUGUAUGAUGGAUUCAGCCGGGCUGAAGACAUGGUGUUUGAUCACAUGCCAACAUGGCUUCAGAUUCACAAACUCCCGGACCCGUAUUGCGAGGAACACAUUGUUAAGAAGUUGUUGAAGGGUGCGGGGGAGAUCCUGGAGAUGCGGCUCAAUGGGAACACGAGAGGUGAUUAUGUGAGGAUUAGGGUGAAUCACAACAUUAAACACCCCCUUACUAAGUUCGUCAGUAUUGUGCGAGCAAAAGAACGCCAAGUGUACCUGGUUAGAUAUGAAAAACUUGCUUGUUUUUGCAAGGUGUGUGCGCUGAUUGGCCAUGAUCAUAAGGAGUGUGGUCUGGACAUACAUGAUAAGAAGGGUAUGAAGUUCGGGGACUGUUUGUACGCGGAGGGGCCGUCUAGGCCAGGACAAGGCGCUGCGGUGAACAGGCAGUCCGGCCCCCGUUUCCCUGGUAAGGCUGGGAGUCCGUCUGCUUCUGCCCCAAGGGAAGAGAGGACCGACCCGAAAACCCCAUACACGGCGACAAGCCCUCUGAAAUAG